RNAcentral lists this ribosomal RNA (1609 nucleotides) under Salmonella enterica subsp. enterica serovar Enteritidis. RNAcentral's name for it is "partial 23S ribosomal RNA". It matches the Rfam family "Bacterial large subunit ribosomal RNA", at positions 1292 to 2879 of the family's 2925-position model. Lineage: Bacteria; Pseudomonadati; Pseudomonadota; Gammaproteobacteria; Enterobacterales; Enterobacteriaceae. The record is from RNAcentral.
GAAUGCUGACAUAAGUAACGAUAAAGCGGGUGAAAAGCCCGCUCGCCGGAAGACCAAGGGUUCCUGUCCAACGUUAAUCGGGGCAGGGUGAGUCGACCCCUAAGGCGAGGCCGAAAGGCGUAGUCGAUGGGAAACGGGUUAAUAUUCCCGUACUUGGUGUUACUGCGAAGGGGGGACGGAGAAGGCUAUGUUGGCCGGGCGACGGUUGUCCCGGUUUAAGCGUGUAGGUGUGUGUUCCAGGUAAAUCCGGUUCACUUUAACACUGAGGCGUGACGACGAGGCACUACGGUGCUGAAGCAACAAAUGCCCUGCUUCCAGGAAAAGCCUCUAAGCAUCAGGUAACAUCAAAUCGUACCCCAAACCGACACAGGUGGUCAGGUAGAGAAUACCAAGGCGCUUGAGAGAACUCGGGUGAAGGAACUAGGCAAAAUGGUGCCGUAACUUCGGGAGAAGGCACGCUGACACGUAGGUGAAGUGAUUUACUCAUGGAGCUGAAGUCAGUCGAAGAUACCAGCUGGCUGCAACUGUUUAUUAAAAACACAGCACUGUGCAAACACGAAAGUGGACGUAUACGGUGUGACGCCUGCCCGGUGCCGGAAGGUUAAUUGAUGGGGUCAGCGCAAGCGAAGCUCCUGAUCGAAGCCCCGGUAAACGGCGGCCGUAACUAUAACGGUCCUAAGGUAGCGAAAUUCCUUGUCGGGUAAGUUCCGACCUGCACGAAUGGCGUAAUGAUGGCCAGGCUGUCUCCACCCGAGACUCAGUGAAAUUGAACUCGCUGUGAAGAUGCAGUGUACCCGCGGCAAGACGGAAAGACCCCGUGAACCUUUACUAUAGCUUGACACUGAACAUUGAGCCUUGAUGUGUAGGAUAGGUGGGAGGCUUUGAAGUGUGGACGCCAGUCUGCAUGGAGCCGACCUUGAAAUACCACCCUUUAAUGUUUGAUGUUCUAACGUGGACCCGUUACCCGGGUUGCGGACAGUGUCUGGUGGGUAGUUUGACUGGGGCGGUCUCCUCCUAAAGAGUAACGGAGGAGCACGAAGGUUGGCUAAUCCUGGUCGGACAUCAGGAGGUUAGUGCAAUGGCAUAAGCCAGCUUGACUGCGAGCGUGACGGCGCGAGCAGGUGCGAAAGCAGGUCAUAGUGAUCCGGUGGUUCUGAAUGGAAGGGCCAUCGCUCAACGGAUAAAAGGUACUCCGGGGAUAACAGGCUGAUACCGCCCAAGAGUUCAUAUCGACGGCGGUGUUUGGCACCUCGAUGUCGGCUCAUCACAUCCUGGGGCUGAAGUAGGUCCCAAGGGUAUGGCUGUUCGCCAUUUAAAGUGGUACGCGAGCUGGGUUUAGAACGUCGUGAGACAGUUCGGUCCCUAUCUGCCGUGGGCGCUGGAGAACUGAGGGGGGCUGCUCCUAGUACGAGAGGACCGGAGUGGACGCAUCACUGGUGUUCGGGUUGUCAUGCCAAUGGCACUGCCCGGUAGCUAAAUGCGGAAGAGAUAAGUGCUGAAAGCAUCUAAGCACGAAACUUGCCCCGAGAUGAGUUCUCCCUGAGACUUAAAGUCUCCUGAAGGAACGUUGAAGACGACGACGUUGAUAGGCCGGGUGUGUAAGCGCAGC